AACGCUAGCUACAGGCUUAACACAUGCAAGUCGAGGGGUAACGAGAGGGAAGCUUGCUUUCCUUGUCGACGACCGGCGCACGGGUGAGUAACGCGUAUCCAACCUGCCCACAACUAAGGAAUAACCUUGCGAAAGUAAGACUAAUACCUUAUAAUUUCCUCUGAAGGCAUCGGACGAGGAAUAAAGAUUUAUCGGUUAUGGAUGGGGAUGCGUCUGAUUAGCUUGUUGGCGGGGUAACGGCCCACCAAGGCAACGAUCAGUAGGGGUUCUGAGAGGAAGGUCCCCCACAUUGGAACUGAGACACGGUCCAAACUCCUACGGGAGGCAGCAGUGAGGAAUAUUGGUCAAUGGGCGAGAGCCUGAACCAGCCAAGUAGCGUGCAGGAAGACGGCCCUAUGGGUUGUAAACUGCUUUUAUACAGGAAUAAAGUUAGCCACGUGUGGCUAUUUGUAGGUACUGUAUGAAUAAGGACCGGCUAAUUCCGUGCCAGCAGCCGCGGUAAUACGGAAGGUCCAGGCGUUAUCCGGAUUUAUUGGGUUUAAAGGGAGCGUAGGCCGUCUGUUAAGCGUGUUGUGAAAUGUAGAUGCUCAACAUCUGAAUUGCAGCGCGAACUGGCAGACUUGAGUGUGCACAACGUAGGCGGAAUUCGUGGUGUAGCGGUGAAAUGCUUAGAUAUCACGAAGAACUCCGAUUG
This 694-nucleotide ribosomal RNA is filed under the name uncultured bacterium. Its description in RNAcentral is "bacterial SSU rRNA". It matches the Rfam family "Bacterial small subunit ribosomal RNA", at positions 32 to 715 of the family's 1533-position model. The record is from RNAcentral.